AUAAAACAGCCUUCCUACGUCAGGUUUUCAGGCUUGAAUUGGAUAUAAAAAUGAAAACCGCUCCAAAAGGAAGAAGAGAAAGAAAACAGUUGUAUUAUUGAAUAAGCAUUAAAGCAGAAUCUGAUGCAUGUCACUUGCCAUGUAGAAUGGAAUUGCAAAAACAGAAAGAAAUCUCCCUCUUUUACAUGGUGAAGCAAAUACAUCUCCUUACAUCAUGUUCUCAAGAGUCCUGAGCUGUCUAUAAGAAGUCUGACAAAUCUGAGACCAGCCUGCUGUGAGGAAACCCAAGCCACAGGAAGAUGCCACCAGGAGGCAAUCUGGUCAACCAUUCCAACUGAGCCCAGACUUGGAAUCAUCCCAGUCCAUAAAAUCUGCAAAGUCACAUAGCCAGAGCACACUCAGAAGAAGAAAUCUUGACCUGAGAUGACCAUGAGAACAAAGAUCCUCCUCUCCUGGAAACAAAGGACCUGGACACGACUGGAACCUAAAAGUCAGGCUCUUAUCAGAAGUGAGGGGUUCCUCAUUCAGGAAGAUCUGGUGUUAAAAUUCCUUCCCCACGCUAUCAUAAAUGUUUAGAACCCUAUCAUAAAUGUUCAGAACUCUGUCCUAUAUGUUUAGAACCUUACCAUAAAUGUUUGAAGCCCACCAAUCAAAACCUGUCCCACCAACAUUUCUGCCUACCAGCUUGUUCUCCUUAACCUCUUAAAUUUCACCCAAAUCCUGAAUUGGGGACACAUAUCUGAAGGCACAUGCCCCUGUCUUCCUGCUGAUUGAUUUCACAGAAUAAAG
This 789-nucleotide long non-coding RNA is filed under the name Equus caballus (horse). RNAcentral's name for it is "lncRNA (ENSECAG00000043833.1)". Lineage: Eukaryota; Metazoa; Chordata; Mammalia; Perissodactyla; Equidae. The record is from RNAcentral.